This 694-nucleotide ribosomal RNA is filed under the name uncultured Bacteroidales bacterium. Its description in RNAcentral is "bacterial SSU rRNA". It matches the Rfam family "Bacterial small subunit ribosomal RNA", at positions 32 to 715 of the family's 1533-position model. The record is from RNAcentral. Lineage: Bacteria; Pseudomonadati; Bacteroidota; Bacteroidia; Bacteroidales.
AACGCUAGCUACAGGCUUAACACAUGCAAGUCGCGGGGCAGCAUGAAUUUAGCUUGCUAAAUUUGAUGGCGACCGGCGCACGGGUGAGUAACGCGUAUCCAACCUUCCCCUGUCCACGGGAUAGCCCGUCGAAAGGCGGAUUAAUACCGUAUGAGGUCACAUGACGGCAUCAGAGUGUGACGAAAGGUUUUGCGGACAGGGAUGGGGAUGCGUCCGAUUAGCUUGUUGGCGGGGUAACGGCCCACCAAGGCAACGAUCGGUAGGGGUUCUGAGAGGAAGGUCCCCCACAUUGGAACUGAGACACGGUCCAAACUCCUACGGGAGGCAGCAGUGAGGAAUAUUGGUCAAUGGGCGAGAGCCUGAACCAGCCAAGUAGCGUGCAGGACGACGGCCCUAUGGGUUGUAAACUGCUUUUAUGCGGGGAUAACGUGCACCACGUGUGGUGUAUUGCAGGUACCGCAUGAAUAAGGACCGGCUAAUUCCGUGCCAGCAGCCGCGGUAAUACGGAAGGUCCGGGCGUUAUCCGGAUUUAUUGGGUUUAAAGGGAGCGUAGGCCGCUGUUUAAGCGUGUUGUGAAAAACCGGGGCUCAACUCCGGUCGUGCAGCGCGAACUGGACGGCUUGAGUGCGCGGUAAGUGGGCGGAAUUUGUGGUGUAGCGGUGAAAUGCUUAGAUAUCACGAAGAACUCCGAUUG